RNAcentral lists this ribosomal RNA (253 nucleotides) under uncultured bacterium. RNAcentral's name for it is "partial 16S ribosomal RNA". It matches the Rfam family "Bacterial small subunit ribosomal RNA", at positions 524 to 776 of the family's 1533-position model. The record is from RNAcentral.
UACGUAGGGUGCAAGCGUUGUCCGGAAUUAUUGGGCGUAAAGAGCUCGUAGGCGGUUUGUCGCGUCUGCUGUGAAAACGCGAGGCUCAACCUCGCGCCUGCAGUGGGUACGGGCAGACUGGAGUGCGGUAGGGGAGAUUGGAAUUCCUGGUGUAGCGGUGGAAUGCGCAGAUAUCAGGAGGAACACCGAUGGCGAAGGCAGAUCUCUGGGCCACUACUGACGCUGAGAAGCGAAAGCAUGGGGAGCGAACAGG